This 221-nucleotide long non-coding RNA is filed under the name Elaeis guineensis (African oil palm). Its description in RNAcentral is "long non-coding RNA (EGUI_LNC018647)". The record is from RNAcentral. Lineage: Eukaryota; Viridiplantae; Streptophyta; Magnoliopsida; Arecales; Arecaceae.
UGGAUGAUCCUCUGGGAACCCCACCCGACCACUUGAUGCUCUGAUAGGUCGAGCGAAGCCCAUAAAUAGCUAUUUUAGAUCGACCUUGGAUGAUGCUUUGGAAUGAUCCUCUAUGAUCCCCCCAUGAAAAUCUGGUUGCAAAUAACAUUGACAAUCAUACAAGGCUUACAAAGGCAACUUUGCUCGUACAAAGGCUAUGAUAACAAAAAAGAAAAGCUACA